CUCUCCUUCUCCAUUUCCUUGCUACAAGGCCCCAUAACCAGAACCAACUUGCGCUGACCAAGACCAGCACCAAACCAGCCCAAACUCAACCACCAAAGCAACCACCGAGCCUAGGCCAGACCGCCCGUCACCGUCCUCCAUCGCCUAGCUCCAUCCACCUCACACCGUCCCACUAUCUGCGUGCAUCCAACCUCUUGACCGCCGUUCGUUUGCCUCUCCUCCACCUCAACCCCUCAGCCCGUCACCGCCAGCUUGGUCCAGCCACCAGCAGCUCCA
This 276-nucleotide long non-coding RNA is filed under the name Eucalyptus grandis. RNAcentral's name for it is "long non-coding RNA (EGRA_LNC000908)". Lineage: Eukaryota; Viridiplantae; Streptophyta; Magnoliopsida; Myrtales; Myrtaceae. The record is from RNAcentral.